GACGAACGCUGGCGGCGUGCUUAACACAUGCAAGUCGAACGGAAAGGCCCUGCUUUUGUGGGGUGCUCGAGUGGCGAACGGGUGAGUAACACGUGAGUAACCUGCCCUUGACUUUGGGAUAACUUCAGGAAACUGGGGCUAAUACCGGAUAGGAGCUCCUGCUGCAUGGUGGGGGUUGGAAAGUUUCGGCGGUGGGGGAUGGACUCGCGGCUUAUCAGCUUGUUGGUGGGGUAGUGGCUUACCAAGGCUUUGACGGGUAGCCGGCCUGAGAGGGGGACCGGCCACAUUGGGCCUGAGAGACGGCCCAGACUCCUACGGGAGGCAGCAGGGGGGAAUAUUGCACAAUGGGCGGAAGCCUGUUGCAGAAACGCCGCGUGCGGGAUGAAGGCCUUCGGGUUGUAAACCGCUUUCGCCUGUGACGAAGCGGGAGUGACGGUAAUGGGUAAAGAAGCACCGGCUAACUACGUG
This 468-nucleotide ribosomal RNA is filed under the name uncultured bacterium. Its description in RNAcentral is "partial 16S ribosomal RNA". It matches the Rfam family "Bacterial small subunit ribosomal RNA", at positions 28 to 507 of the family's 1533-position model. The record is from RNAcentral.